This 301-nucleotide unclassified non-coding RNA is filed under the name Hevea brasiliensis (rubber tree). Lineage: Eukaryota; Viridiplantae; Streptophyta; Magnoliopsida; Malpighiales; Euphorbiaceae. The record is from RNAcentral.
AAGUUAUAACCACCAAGGAUUCACCUCUAAACAUAGUCGAAAAAAAUUGUAUUGCACCUCUACCAACCCCGUCUGCUCGUCUGAAUCACAGUGAGGCUUAAUCCAAAGUUCUCAGGAUGUUGUAAGAAUGUAUGAUUAGCUGCAGGGGUGCUUCAUCACAUGUUAUUUCACCGAUAUGGAGUUAUGUCGAUGAAUGGUUCAUAGUACCAUUGCACAUGCACUCUGGGACAGGGUACUUUGUUACAUCCCUUCCUGGUUUCCUCAAUUCUGGCUGACCUAAGGAAUCUCUAUGCAAGUCCAG